This 441-nucleotide ribosomal RNA is filed under the name uncultured bacterium. RNAcentral describes it as "partial 16S ribosomal RNA". It matches the Rfam family "Bacterial small subunit ribosomal RNA", at positions 338 to 795 of the family's 1533-position model. The record is from RNAcentral.
CCUACGGGUGGCAGCAGUAGGGAAUUUUGCGCAAUGGGGGAAACCCUGACGCAGCAACGCCGCGUGAUCGAUGAAGCCCUUCGGGGUGUAAAGAUCUGUCAGUGGGGACGAAACCUGACGGUACCCACAGAGGAAGCACCGGCUAACUCCGUGCCAGCAGCCGCGGUAAUACGGGGGGUGCAAGCGUUGUCCGGAAUCAUUGGGCGUAAAGAGUUCGUAGGUGGCACGUUAAGGCUGGUGUUAAAGGCGGAGGCUCAACUUCGGUAGGGCACUGGAACCUGGCAGGCUUGAUUGCAGUAGAGGUAAAGGGAAUGCCUGGUGUAGCGGUGAAAUGCGUAGAUAUCAGGAGGAACAUCGGUGGCGUAGGCGCUUUACUGGGCCGUAAUUGACACUGAGGAACGAAAGCCGGGGUAGCAAAUGGGAUUAGAUACCCGGGUAGUC